CCUACGGGUGGCAGCAGUGAGGAAUAUUGGUCAAUGGACGAGAGUCUGAACCAGCCAAGCCGCGUGAAGGAUGACUGCUCUAUGAGUUGUAAACUUCUUUUAUAUGGGAAUAAAAUGCUCCACGUGUGGGGUUUUGUAUGUAUCAUACGAAUAAGGAUCGGCUAACUCCGUGCCAGCAGCCGCGGUAAUACGGAGGAUCCAAGCGUUAUCCGGAUUUAUUGGGUUUAAAGGGUGCGUAGGUGGAUUGAUAAGUUAGUUGUGAAAGUUUGCGGCUCAACCGCAAAAUUGCAGUUGAUACUGGCAGUCUUGAGUACAGUAGAGGUGGGCGGAAUGCGUGGUGUAGCGGUGAAAUGCAUAGAGAUCACGAAGAACUCCGAUUGCGAAGGCAGUUCACUGGACUGCAACUGACACUGAGGCUCGAAAGUGUGGGGAGCAAACAGGAUUAGAUACCCGAGUAGUC
RNAcentral lists this ribosomal RNA (460 nucleotides) under uncultured bacterium. Its description in RNAcentral is "partial 16S ribosomal RNA". It matches the Rfam family "Bacterial small subunit ribosomal RNA", at positions 338 to 795 of the family's 1533-position model. The record is from RNAcentral.